RNAcentral lists this transfer RNA (92 nucleotides) under Candidatus Tenebribacter burtonii. RNAcentral's name for it is "tRNA-Val". The record is from RNAcentral. Lineage: Bacteria; Pseudomonadati; Candidatus Cloacimonadota; Cloacimonadia (SeqCode); Cloacimonadales (SeqCode).
GGAUUAAUUAUUGGCAAUUAAGAAGAUAUAGAAUUUGCGGCGCAUGACUGACAGUCAUGAGGUCAGCGGUUCGAGCCCGCUAUGCUCCACCA